RNAcentral lists this ribosomal RNA (490 nucleotides) under uncultured bacterium. RNAcentral's name for it is "partial 16S ribosomal RNA". It matches the Rfam family "Bacterial small subunit ribosomal RNA", at positions 30 to 507 of the family's 1533-position model. The record is from RNAcentral.
AUUGAACGCUGGCGGCAUGCUUUACACAUGCAAGUCGAACGGCAGCACGAAAGAGCUUGCUCUUUUGGUGGCGAGUGGCGAACGGGUGAGUAAUGCAUCGGAACGUACCGAGUAAUGGGGGAUAACUGUCCGAAAGGAUAGCUAAUACCGCAUACGCUUUGAGAAGGAAAGUGGGGGCUCUUCGGACCUCACGUUAUUCGAGCGGCCGAUGUCUGAUUAGCUAGUUGGUGGGGUAAAGGCCUACCAAGGCGACGAUCAGUAGCGGGCCUGAGAGGAUGAUCCGCCACACUGGGACUGAGACACGGCCCAGACUCCUACGGGAGGCAGCAGUGGGGAAUUUUGGACAAUGGGCGCAAGCCUGAUCCAGCCAUGCCGCGUGUCUGAAGAAGGCCUUCGGGUUGUAAAGGACUUUUGUUAGGGAAGAAAAGGAUAGUGUUAAUACCAUUAUCUGCUGACGGUACCUAAAGAAUAAGCACCGGCUAACUACGUG